CUAAGAUUUUUUUAGGAUUUGGUUAGAAUUUUUUUAGGAUUUGAUUAAGAUUUAUGUAGGAUUUAUUUAGGAUUUGAUUAAGGUUUGAUUACAGUUUGAUUAGGAUUUGUCUAAGAUUCUAUUAGAAUUUGGUUAGGAUUUGGUUAUAAUUUGUUUAAGAUUAUUUUAGUAUUUGAUUAGAAUUUGACUAGGAUUUAUUUAGGAUUUGUUUGGAGUUUGAUUGGGACUUAUUUAAGAUUUGUCUAGGAUUUGAUUAGGAUUUAUUUAGGAUUUGAUUAGAAUUUUAUUAGUAUUUUUUUGGAAUUUGAUUAUAAAUUGUCUAUGAUUUGAUUAGAGUCAUUUAGAAUUUGAGUAAAGUUUGACUAAGAUUUGACUAGGAUUUGACUAAGGUUUAAUUAGGUUUUGAUUAAGAUUUAAUUAAAAUUUAGAUUUUAAUGUUUUAUUAAUAUUUCUAUUUUAGUAUAUAUAUUUUUUGAAUUUCUAUGUUAUUUCUUUAUGAUUUCUUAAAAGGAUUUUUAAGAAUUCU
This 526-nucleotide long non-coding RNA is filed under the name Physcomitrium patens. RNAcentral describes it as "long non-coding RNA (PPAT_LNC001235)". The record is from RNAcentral. Lineage: Eukaryota; Viridiplantae; Streptophyta; Bryopsida; Funariales; Funariaceae.